GCGGGUUUAGCUCAGUUGGGAGAGCGUCAGACUGAAGUUUCAACUUCACUCAACAUCAACAGAGUUGAUAUCUGAAGGUCGUGUGUUCAAUCCACACAAACCGCA
Non-coding RNA from Cercophora newfieldiana, 105 nucleotides. NCBI's taxonomy places the organism in Eukaryota, Fungi, Ascomycota, Sordariomycetes, Sordariales, Lasiosphaeriaceae. The record is from the annotation of a GenBank genome assembly.